GAUCCUAGCUCAAGACGAACGCUGGCGGCGUGCUUAACACAUGCAAGUCGAACGGAGCACCCUUGACUGAGGUUUCGGCCAAAUGAUAGGAAUGCUUAGUGGCGGACUGGUGAGUAACGCGUGAGGAACCUGCCUUCCAGAGGGGGACAACAGUUGGAAACGACUGCUAAUACCGCAUGACGCAUGACCGGGGCAUCCCGGGCAUGUCAAAGNUUUUAUCGCUGGAAGAUGG
This 232-nucleotide ribosomal RNA is filed under the name uncultured bacterium. RNAcentral describes it as "partial 16S ribosomal RNA". It matches the Rfam family "Bacterial small subunit ribosomal RNA", at positions 15 to 228 of the family's 1533-position model. The record is from RNAcentral.